AGCCCUCUGUAUCCGUGCUGAGAUUUCGUCAGAGAUCAACCCAUUGGGGUUGAUGGUACUUCCCAAAUAAGUGAAGCG
Molecule: microRNA precursor, 78 nt
Filed under: Trichobilharzia regenti
Lineage: Eukaryota; Metazoa; Platyhelminthes; Trematoda; Strigeidida; Schistosomatidae
Description: mir-3492 microRNA precursor family
Rfam family: mir-3492 microRNA precursor family
Source: Rfam by way of RNAcentral